UUUCAGAUGGGAUCCUGAGGUUCAACGAAGUUAAGAGACUUACCUAAGGUCAUGUAGUAGACAUGGCUAAAGUGGGAUUUGAUUCCAGAUUAUAUGGCUCCAAGGAUGCUUGAUGAGCAGUGCCAGGUCUGCACCUGGGAUCCGAACCCAUGAACCCCAGGCCACCGAAGCAGAGCACACUAACUCAACCACUACACCACUGGGCCGGCCCCUGGAUGACCAUUUUAAAUUGUCAGUAAUCACACGGAACCAGUAUAAUCAUCUCGAUCACAUCCUUUAAGUGUGUAAGACUUACUCCAAAGAGAAAGGUAUUGAAGGAAGAGAAUACUGGGUAAGGACCCAAUAUACAUGUGAAAACCGUGCUUGUUUGAUGCUUGUUUUGAACAAUGUCUUCUUGGCCAGCAUGUUGUGGGAAUGGGGACUGGAAAGUAAAACUGAAUGUUCCAUAAUUUGGAACUUGACUUCGAAGCUUACAAAUAUCACAUGGUAAUUUUUUAUCAAAAAAUACACAAAAACAAUGUAAGCUUUGGGUGAUAAGUUUAUUACUCAACAGUGAUACCUGUUCAUCAGUUGAACCCCACUGCUUCCAGAAAGAGCUAGCUUACAAAGUUUGAGGAGUUUCCACCAAUGACACUGUGAUAAUCUCAGACGGUAGUUCUCUGGGUUCUAGGAAAAUACAAGGAGAGAGAGCAAGUAAUGCAGAUGGAAUGAUGGCUGGGAACUUGGAAGAAUUGCCAAGAAAAUUCGAGGCCAGAAGAGUGAGCAGAGAGGCCAAUCAGGAAGAAUCCUCUCUGCCACGCUAGGAGGGUGACAUAAAUAAGCAGUAUUCAGAAAAUGCCUUAAUUAAGCAGAAACCAACUAUGUUUACCACUUUGAAUAAUCCUCAUAUAGGCAAGACGCAGCAUAAAAAUAGCUCCCAGUUGCCUGAAAUGUCUUACUUUCCUUAAUGUCAGUAUUGUGUCCUGAUCAUGGAUGUUUUGAAACCCAAACCUACACAGCCUCAAGGAAUCUCCAUCCUCAAAGAGUGAUAACACUGUCUUUAACUUGCUCAGCCUGUUAACAUACUUCACCAAGGAGGGUGAGAUUGGCUGAUAUAUUUUCAAGAAUUCUUCAACAAGGAUUUUUUUUUUUAAGAUUUUAUUUUUUCCUUUUUCUCCCCAAAGCCCCCCAGUACAUAGUUGUAUAUUCUUCGUUGUGGGUUCUUCU
Molecule: non-coding RNA, 1206 nt
Organism: Equus caballus (horse)
Lineage: Eukaryota; Metazoa; Chordata; Mammalia; Perissodactyla; Equidae
Source: RefSeq, a predicted model, not a curated record